This 30-nucleotide non-coding RNA is filed under the name Mus musculus (house mouse). The record is from RNAcentral. Lineage: Eukaryota; Metazoa; Chordata; Mammalia; Rodentia; Muridae.
UGUGCUGCAAGCAUUUUUCCUUUCUGUUGG